This 207-nucleotide ribosomal RNA is filed under the name uncultured bacterium. RNAcentral's name for it is "partial 16S ribosomal RNA". It matches the Rfam family "Bacterial small subunit ribosomal RNA", at positions 568 to 774 of the family's 1533-position model. The record is from RNAcentral.
CUCGUAGGCGGUUCGUCGCGUCCGGUGUGAAAGUCCAUCGCUUAACGGUGGAUCCGCGCCGGGUACGGGCGGGCUUGAGUGCGGUAGGGGAGACUGGAAUUCCCGGUGUAACGGUGGAAUGUGUGGAUAUCGGGAAGAACACCAAUGGCGAAGGCAGGUCUCUGGGCCGUCACUGACGCUGAGGAGCGAAAGCGUGGGGAGCGAACA